UAUUGAUUCUGGACGCAGUCUGAACCAGCCAUGCCGCGUGGAGGAUGAAGGUCCUCUGGAUUGUAAACUUCUUUUAUCUGGGACGAAAAAAGGGAAUUCUUUCUCGUCUGACGGUACCAGAUGAAUAAGCACCGGCUAACUCCGUGCCAGCAGCCGCGGUAAUACGGAGGGUGCAAGCGUUAUCCGGAUUCACUGGGUUUAAAGGGUGCGUAGGCGGGUAUGUAAGUCCGUGGUGAAAUCUCCGAGCUUAACUCGGAAACUGCCAUGGGUACUGCGUAUCUUGAAUGUUGUGGAGGUGAGCGGAAUAUGUCAUGUAGCGGUGAAAUGCUUAGAUAUGACAUAGAACACCAAUUGCGAAGGCAGCUCACUACACAAAUAUUGACGCUGAGGCACGAAAGCGUGGGGAUCAAACAGGAUUAGAUACCCUGGUAGUCCACGCCCUAAACGAUGAUUACUCGACAUACGCGAUACACAGUGUGUGUCUGAGCGAAAGCAUUAAGUAAUCCACCUGGGAAGUACGACCGCAAGGUUGAAACUCAAAUGAAUUGACGG
Molecule: ribosomal RNA, 552 nt
Filed under: uncultured bacterium
Lineage: Bacteria
Description: bacterial SSU rRNA
Rfam family: Bacterial small subunit ribosomal RNA
Source: RNAcentral